Molecule: ribosomal RNA, 468 nt
Filed under: uncultured bacterium
Lineage: Bacteria
Description: partial 16S ribosomal RNA
Rfam family: Bacterial small subunit ribosomal RNA
Source: RNAcentral
GACGAACGCUGGCGGCGUGCUUAACACAUGCAAGUCGAACGGAAAGGCCCUGCUUUUGUGGGGUGCUCGAGUGGCGAACGGGUGAGUAACACGUGAGUAACCUGCCCUUGACUUUGGGAUAACUUCAGGAAACUGGGGCUAAUACCGGAUAGGAGCUCCUGCUGCAUGGUGGGGGGUGGAAAGUUUCGGCGGUUGGGGAUGGACUCGCGGCUUAUCAGCUUGUUGGUGGGGUAGUGGCUUACCAAGGCUUUGACGGGUAGCCGGCCUGAGAGGGUGACCGGCCACCUUGGGACUGAGAUACGGCCCAGGCUCCUAUGGGAGGCAGCAGUGGGGAAUAUUGCACAAUGGGCGGAAGCCUGAUGCAGCAACGCCGCGUGCGGGAUGCCGGCCUUCGGGUUGUAAACCGCUUUCGCCUGUGACGAAGCGUGAGUGACGGUAAUGGGUAAAGAAGCACCGGCUAACUACGUG